This 420-nucleotide long non-coding RNA is filed under the name Mytilus galloprovincialis (Mediterranean mussel). The record is from RNAcentral. Lineage: Eukaryota; Metazoa; Mollusca; Bivalvia; Mytilida; Mytilidae.
GUUUGGUAAGAAAGUUAUUAAAAUUUUUAAAACUUUAACCACAGAGUGAAUGUAAUGUCAACUGCCAGAAAAACUAAGUUCAUCUAUAAGUAAAAUACGAAAAAUAAGGAUUAAUUUUUUUUAAAUGACUUCUGGAUAUAAAAAUAAUAUUGCAUCUUAAUUAUGCAGUGAAAAUGGACAACACAAUUUUCACUAGGACAAUAUCAAAUACAGUCACCAACAUUGGGUAAGGUGUUUAACAAAUACAAAUACAAUCAUUCCUUAAGACUUUACAUGUGCUUGUUAUCAUAAUUUAUGUUACAAUGAAUUUUUUAAUGAACUUACUAAGCUUGCAUGUUGUCUAUUUUUUUAUUUAUUUUUUUCAACUGUAAAUAAGUCUUUAAAUUAAUACACAUUAUUAAUUUGGAAUUUUACAUUUUG